CCCCUCUCAGGGUCACACCUGGAGAGUUCCCAGUACUCUAUUAGUCUCGAUUACAGGAGGGAGAGUCAAACAGAGGCAUAUCCAUUCCAUUCCUAGCUUGGGCAGUAGCUAGCCAGUGGAAGGCAAUCUGCUACAAGU
Molecule: non-coding RNA, 138 nt
Organism: Ornithorhynchus anatinus (platypus)
Lineage: Eukaryota; Metazoa; Chordata; Mammalia; Monotremata; Ornithorhynchidae
Source: Rfam